RNAcentral lists this ribosomal RNA (465 nucleotides) under Vreelandella stevensii. RNAcentral's name for it is "partial 16S ribosomal RNA". It matches the Rfam family "Bacterial small subunit ribosomal RNA", at positions 338 to 795 of the family's 1533-position model. Lineage: Bacteria; Pseudomonadati; Pseudomonadota; Gammaproteobacteria; Oceanospirillales; Halomonadaceae. The record is from RNAcentral.
CCUACGUGGUGCUGCAGUGGGGAAUAUUGGACAAUGGGCGAAAGCCUGAUCCAGCCAUGCCGCGUGUGUGAAGAAGGCCUUCGGGUUGUAAAGCACUUUCAGUGGGGAAGAAAGCCUUGGGGCUAAUACCCUCGAGGAAGGACAUCACCCACAGAAGAAGCACCGGCUAACUCCGUGCCAGCAGCCGCGGUAAUACGGAGGGUGCGAGCGUUAAUCGGAAUUACUGGGCGUAAAGCGCGCGUAGGCGGUCUGAUAAGCCGGUUGUGAAAGCCCCGGGCUCAACCUGGGAACGGCAUCCGGAACUGUCAGGCUAGAGUGCAGGAGAGGAAGGUAGAAUUCCCGGUGUAGCGGUGAAAUGCGUAGAGAUCGGGAGGAAUACCAGUGGCGAAGGCGGUCUUCUGGACUGACACUGACGCUGAGGUGCGAAAGCGUGGGUAGCAAACAGGAUUAGAUACCCUUGUAGUC